UGGGGAGAGCGACACGAGCGGGAGGAGGCGCUGUGCAGAGUGAAGAACGGCGUCUAAAGCGAAAGCGGAGGCUCCCUGGUGGCAUGCAGCACUGGCGAGAAACUGAUCACUCUGUCAGAGAAUGUUGGAGGACAUAGUCGAGGACAUAGUCAAAGACAGCAAAGAACUUAAAAUUCACCUUGCCGUAAAAUGCAUCUGAUGCACCACGUUCAAGCAUGCAGUUCAGUGGCGCAGUGAAGCACGCUCAUUUUGUUCCGCAGCCGCCCCCACCACCCUUUUUCAGAAUCUUCAUCUUGCAAAACUGAAACUUUUACCCAGUAACUCCCCACUCGCUCUAUCCCCAACCCCUGACAAUGACCGUUCUUCUCUGUCUCUGAAUAGGACUAAAUACCUCGCAAGAGUGGAAUCACACAGUGUUUGUCCGUUUCUGAUUGAUUGAUUUUCUUAGCAUAACUUAUUUAAUGUUCAUCCAUGUUGUAGCAUUGUGUCGGAAUUUUCUUCCUUUUUAAAACUGAAUAGCAACUGUUAAGUGUUUGUUAAAUGCCUAUUGUAUGUAUAUACUACAUUUUGCUUACCUGUUCAUUUAUUGAGGGACA
Molecule: long non-coding RNA, 596 nt
Organism: Pteronotus mesoamericanus
Lineage: Eukaryota; Metazoa; Chordata; Mammalia; Chiroptera; Mormoopidae
Exons: 3
Source: RefSeq, a predicted model, not a curated record